GGCGGGAGCGGGCUCCUCCGGACAGGCGGCGCCGGGGCACACCGGGGAUCCUCUGCUUCGGGCGGGCUACGGGCCGACGGCUCCUCAGCGCUUCUCGCCCGCGGCACCGGGCCCGCAGCCGGAGCCCCGUCCCCCGGCAAGACUGCGCGCUUACCAAAAGCCCGUGCUCCUCCAAAAGUGCCGCAGGGGCCGCUCGGCUCGCCGGACAUCCACGUACACCACAUACGCCGCGGAGCCCGCUCCGAGCUGCACCAUCAGCCAGAGCAGCAGCCCCAUGGCGGCGCGGGGAGCGAAGCCGGGCCGCGGCUCCGUGCCGCCAACCGGCGCCCGCCACAAACGCAGCCCGGACGCGACGACGAGAGCCCGCCCACCGCGGGAUUGCCGCGGCUCCCCUCCCCGACGGCGUCCGCCGCCUGCGGCGCUGUGAGGUGGUGGGAGCGGGGCGGCGGCCUGCAGGCUUCAGAAAGAGGGGAGUUCCGUUCCGAAGUGGCCAAAAAGCCGAAGUUGGUUUUUAAAGACAAGAUGCUGAAAGAAAGUUCCGUCCGUUUAUCCAGGAAGCCCUGUCCUUUCAGGAACAGUGUCAGGCGUGCUGUAGGAAGUGCUGAAACACCGCCGUGCCAUGGAUGCAGGCAGCAGCGUGAAGCCUAAGAUGGAACAGAGGGCUGAAGACGUUGUGAGGGAGCUUGCCCUGCAGGGUGAAUGCUCUAGAGGGCUCUAUUGGCAUUUUAUAGAAGCAUCUGUCAGAGCUCAGGGAAAGACUCUUCUCCAGGAGCCUGCCUUUUGUUUUGGACAGUUUUCCCCAAGGUGUACUCCUUGCCACAUCAGCCACAUCAACCCAAAGCUGGGAGUCAGAAGGGAGGACAAAAACCCUUGCCAGAAGAGAGACGGACAGGGAACUUGAGGUGUCUCUGCAUCAGUCCCAGGUUUCACUUCCUGUAUCUGAGAAAGCAACAAGAUUUUUCAAUGUUCAUUUUCUGAAGAGCAGAAAAUCUUUCCUGCUCAACACAGCCACCCUUGUGCCUCCUGCCGUGGCAAGAAACCAAAGCAAAAGGAGUUCCCUGUGGUGGAACAUCAUAUUCCUCUGUUCCCAAAAUAUCUACAGGGAGAGCAGAAGAGGCCAAAUGAUUUGCUGUUUAUAAACCAAGGUAGCCAACUGGAUCAACAUAUCCAUGGAUGCAUUUGCAGGCCAAAUGCCAGGUUGCAGUAAUACCCAGUGGCCUACUUUGCAGCACUAGCACUAGCACAUCUUCUCCCAAGAGCAGAGCAAAUGCCAGGGUUACAGGAGGCAACUUCCAGCAAACAUUUUCCCAAGCGUAAAAGUUUAAUUCAGAACUGAACACAUAUGCCCACCUGGGAGAUUUUGCAUCGCUAGCACUCUAAGACAAAGGGCAGUGGAGAUGAUGUCUUGAAACAGCCUUCUUCUUUCUCCUUGCACAGACCAGGAGCUCUUCUUGUCCAGAGGCAUUCCUGAGGAAGCACACAGGUAUAAGAAAUGGUGGGAGAGUGGAAAGGAAGUAGCAGGGAAUCAACUCAUUUCAACAAGUAUAGGCUGACCAUUCCCCACCUAAGUGACAGCUGCCUGCCCAGCAUAAGUUCAUCCAGUGCCUCAAACUGGGCAGAUGAGAAAUGUCACAGCAUGAUACUUCAGAGCUGAGUCAUUUCUUGUCAUGUAAACUGUUUGAUCCCCAUUGCUUUCCUUGCAGCAGUGUCCUUUGGGAGGACAGACACAUCAGUCUCCUUCACAGGAAGCAGUUAACUCCUCCAACUGCAUUAGCUUUGUCUGUCAGAAGGCAUAUGGGCACCAUGAAGGAAAGCAGUGCACUGUGAUUUGCUUUAGGGGUUGUUCAGUUUAAAUACCUCCUCAUGAUUGCAUACAACUUCUUAUGUAACAAAGAUGUCUGUCGAUCAGAAAUAUAUAUAUCCCAACUGGAAUCUUAUCAGCACCAACAGCAUGGAUCUUAGUGCUCCUUUUCUCACAGAUGGCUUGUUCUUAAAUCUCAGUUUAUGGCACUACUGCAACUUUCCCCCAAUCCCUGGUGAGCUUUGUCAGCCCUGAGAUAUCCCUUCACCUCAUUCGUUCAUCAGCAGACUGUGGAAUGAGUACUUGAACUGCAGCUGUCUAUUGCCUUUCCUUCAAUAGAGCAGUCUCAUGGUUUUUUUCAAAACCUGUGCUGAUUGCAGAAAGACAUACUGUCUGCUUCAUGGUGCUGAUCCGCUUGGCUGGUUCUUGCUUUUCUCCUGAACACCAGUGAUCAGUCCCAGCUAGAAAUGGAAUGCAAUUGAGAGGCACUGAAAAGCUUGGAGAUACCUGAAAGAUUAUCUGGUCACCUCUUUGAGAUUAGCAAGGGUUUGAUCAGUUGAUUAGGAGAGGACAUGGUGUUUUAGCCCCCUCUGUAAGCUGGGAUAUAACAUUUCAUCUCCAAGGUUUCAGCAUCUACUUCUUUCCUGGUGCCAGAAUAUCUUUUUGUUUGUUUAUUUUUUCACCAGCUUUGACUUUUGGUCUAAAGAUACACUUCUGACAAGUUUUGGCUUUCACCCAAGUGGUUGUAGUCCAGGGUUGCUCAAUAAUUGCUUUUGCCCAAAGACAUGAACCUUAUCAUACAGAUGUUGCUGCCUCCUAACCCACCUUGGUUCAGUGUGACCCAGGGAGUUGCUUUGCUGCAGUUUAGCACUGCACAUCUAUUUUUGUUUUCAGGUGUAACCAGGUACAUAUGAUUCUGUAAAAGGCUUUAUAAUUCUAUAUAAGGUUUUACAUUAACCUGACAGUACACUGUUUCAGGGCUUGUACUGGCCCAAGCUUGUUUUAACUUUGGUAACUACUGUUCAGUGAUCAGGUCACUAUUGUCUGAAGUUUUUCACCUUAGUUAUUGGAAUACCAUUCAGUGUAAAAUGUGUCAGGGCGUGGCAAGGGCCAGCUGCUCCCUUCAGCAAGGGAGUGCUCUUGAAUCACCACCUCUUGAAUCAAGGAGUAAGGCAAACGCUGAAUUAGUAGGGAUAAGAUUGACCCACAGACCCAGCUAUCAAGCAAAUUCAUGGUGACAGAGCAGUUUUGAGGUCAAGAUGAGAAAUCAGUCCACAGAUCAAGGCCAACAAGGUCCACGGCUAGAUGCUGGCAUAGCUUGGUUGAGACCAGCACUUCUACAAACUAGCUGGGAUGUGGAUUGAAGGACCUAAGUUCCUGACCCUGAAAUGGUUCUCCUGACCCAUGGUUUUGCACUUUAACACAGAAGGCAGCUGGCAGCACACAGCUACUCCCACAGUCCAUUCCAGCGGGAUAGGGAAGGGAGAAUUGGAAAGGUGAAAAUGCAGGAACUUGUGGGUUAAGGACAGAUUAAUACAUUGAGUAAAAGUUGUGCAUGCAAGCAAAGUGAAAAACAGAAUCCAUUCCCUUCUUUCCAUCACCAGGCAAGUGUUCAACCAUUUCAAGGAAAGCAGAGCUCCAUCACAUGUAAUGCUUAACUGGGAGGACAAGCACCAUAACUCUGAAUGUCUCUCCCUCUAGUUUGCCCAUGUAUGGCACUGACAUUGAGAAACAGCCUGCUUUUCUUGACAGGUAGAUUGCACUUUGGCAUCUCUUUGGCUGGUGGAAUAACUAGUAAAUUCAGUUACUGGGAAGUUAUGUAGAUGAAUACUCCUUCUUUUCCUUUAGCCUGUGUUUCCUGGGGUCCCUGGAGGUCUUUUUUAUUCAUGAAUAAUGGGGCUAAUCCUCCUACUGCGCAAGGACCUCCAGUAGUAUUUUCUAAAGCAUAAGUGUAGGCCAAUUUUCCACCAUGUUAAAACCAUCCUAAGGGCAACUUGAGGUAGGCUUCAGCAUAACUUACCUCCUGGGUCUAAUUACAGUUUAAUAGGGCUGUAAUUUUGUUAAAAUCCUACGGGCUGAGGUACAAUUCAUGAAUUCAACACAGUCCUUGACACAGAAGGGUGCCUUGGACCUUUACAUUCAGCAUCCCUCAUCCUCAGGGAGAGGGAGAUGAUUGUCUCCCUCUACUCAGCUCUUGUGAGGCCCCAUCUGCAGUACUGCAUCCAGGCCUGGGGCCCCCAGUACAGGAAGGACAUGGAGCUCUUGGAGCGGGUCCAGAGUAGGGCCACUAACAUGGUCAGAGGGCUGGAGCACCUCUCCUGUGAGAAAAGGUUGAGGGAACCGGGCUUGUUUAGCUUGGAAAAGAGAAGGCUCUGGGGAGACCUCAUUGUGGCCUUCCAGUACUUGAAGGGAACAUAUAGACAGGAGAGGGAAUGGCUGAUUACGAGGGUGAAUAGUGAUAGGACAAGGGGGAAUGGUCUUAAACUGAGACAGGCGCAGUUUCAGUUGGAUAUUAGGAUGAAGUUUUUCACACAGAGGGUGUUGACGCUCUGGAACAUGUUGCCCAAGGAGGUUGUGGAUGCCCCAUCCCUGGAUGCAUUCAAGGCCAGGGUAGAUGUGGUUCUGGGCAGCCUGGUCUAGGGGUUGGCGACCCCACACAUAUCAGGGGGGUUGAAACCCAUUGUGGUCCUUUUCAACCCAGGCCAUUCUAUGAUUCUAUGAUCCUCUUCAUUAUACCUGUAGUUGCACAGUCCAUAUCACAGAUGUUCCCAUAGGUUGCAUUUGUCUCUAUGCUUUUUAAUAUUGUGUACUUUUGCUAAACUUUUACAGGGGUGGGGAACCUUACUAGGCAGGAACUGUACAUUUCUGCCUCUAAUUUUCCCGAGUCAAGAUAAAAGAAACAAUCACUUCCUUGGCUAACGUUUCCCACAAAUUCUGGCUCCUGCAGCAGUAAAACCUGUGAACCACUUAUCAUAGUAGACCAAUUUAUCACCACCAGAGUCCCCACAAUCCAGAACCUUAUGAUUCCUGACUUAACUUAAAGCACAAAGGUCCCUCUUGUUUAACACUCCAUCCUAGUGAUGGAACUGGCUUGAUCCUUCUGUGAUAUAUCCACAAAGUGACUCUUUCAAUCCUGACUGUCAUGUAGGUGAUGAGUAGAAUCUGGAGAGGUGCAGUCCCUGGGUUGGUAUUGAUGCACAGGAGCAUCUAAGCACAGCAGCGCGCUAUGAUGUAUGUGCAGGGAGAAAGCAAAAACUUCCCUAAAGAAAUGACAUAUUCCAUUAAAUAGCAUUUUCCUACAAUUUCAGGAUCAACUCUGGUUUCUGUUAUCUAAUAAGGUUACAUAUAUUAUUUUAAAAGGACUGACAUUUUCUUUAGUUCUUGGCUGGAUGCAUAUCCAUAGCAAGGCUAAGGGUAAGGUAUCCAGUCAUCUUAUCUGAGCCUCUUGACAAACUUUACUCAUUUGUCUUUUUAAGCUUUGAUUCAUCCUUCCUACUUUCUCAGCUGAUUGUAGUCUCCAUAGAGUAUGGAGAUCACAAUUUGUCCCUAUUUCUUUAGCUAGGUUUUGAACUGCUGCUGCUAUAAAGUGUGAACUCCUAUCUGAAGAUAGUCCUAUAGGUACCCCUCGGUAUUAUUACCUUAAGUAAUGCUUCUGCUACUUCUGUGGCCUUCUUGGUGCAACAAGGGAAAGAUUCUGGCCAGCCUGAAAAAGCUUCUGUCAUUACUAAAAGAUACAAAUACCCAUUUUGCUGUGUUAACUCAGUAAAGUCUAUUUGCCGAUAAUGGGAUGUUUUUGUUACCCCCUGUGAAGGUCUUCAGAGUAAAUGAGGAUUGUUCUUUAAACACAAUUCACAUUUAUUUACUACACUUUUGGCUAUCUCAGUCAUUCAUGCACUUAACUCUUGUACAUUCAGCACUCCUGUCAUUGCUUUGCUUACCCAGUGAGUUUCCUGAUGUGUUUAUCAGCCAAUUCAUGCAUAAUUUCCUGUGUGACUAUUUACUUGGUGUGAAGAGGUCAUCCACCAUCUUUCUUGAUGUUUUUGGGUGGUUUUUUUUUUUUUUUGCCUUCAGUAGAUUAGCAAAGUGGUCCUCUUCUGAUGUGUAUGGUGAGCCUUUCUGUUUCAAUCUUUGGAUUUUCUCCAGUAGGACCAACAAUAUUUGACUCUUCACAGCUUCCUUCACAGCCUUAUCCACCAUCUGUUUUCCUGUAUUUACUGGAUUGUUUCCAUUCUGAUGUGCAUUAGUGCAUGACUGCCACUGCUUCAAGCAGAUCGAUAGCUUGUAAAAGUUGUUGACCCAUAUUUGACUGGGGAUUCUUGAGAUGUUAAAAGUCCCUUUUGUCUACAAAUGUGCCCAUGAGCAUGGAAUACCCCAGAGUCAAACUCUGAAUCUGUCCAUGUAUAAACAGUUCUGUCUUUUGACAGUUCUAGCACUCUCAGUAAGGCUAUGAGCUUUGCUUUCUGCACCAAAGUGUUAGACAACAGAGCUUUGGCCUCAGUCAUUUCCUUAACUGUUACCACUGCAUUUCCCACUUUCCACUUUCCAUCCUGCACGAAGUUGCUACUAUCUACAAACAGGUCCCAGUCUGCAUUUUCCAUUGGCAUCUCUUUCAAAUCUGCUCUGCUGGAGUACGUCUGGUGGAAAAUGCUGUCGGUGCUAAAUAUCUGUGCAUUGAGAGCAUUGAUGCCUCUGAGGAUGCAGUGUUCUUUCUUUUCCAUGUUAUGUACUUGUUUCUCAGGUGUGUUCUGGUGCUGGGUUUGAUGCUAGCAUGCGCUCCCUUUGUACUUAACUCAGGAGGCAAAUAAAUCUGACAGAUUUUAUUGCUGGUUGUAAAGUUGUGGGUUUACUCCACUGCUUCUGAGGGAACACUCACUCUGUAUCCAAGUUUCAAAGUUUAUCUGGGAACUAAUAAAUACAAAGCAGAAUUUAUUAAAAAAUCAUACAAAAAUAUUCCUUAGCUGAGAUUAGACAACCAUCGUACAAGCAUUGCUAUCUUCCCCUUUGUAAAGAAAUCAGGGUGCCUGGGACUCAGUGUGAUACCCACUUUCUGCGUAGGGAGAACUUAUCUCUCCCCAAUUGUCGUAAAGACAACUGUAGGCUAAGCUUAAGGUUGAAGAGAAGGAGCAGAUUAUAGGAAUUAAAUGCGUUACCAGUCUUAACUUUGUUUUCAGAACGUUGCUGCUACUGUAACUGAACUAUCAGUAGCUAUCUGCUGUCAUUUUAAUUAGAAUGUGGAAAUGUGAAGACAUUAAUUGACUGACAAUAAAGUAUGAGUUCUGCAUAUAGUCUGUGUUCCCUUUUGCCCAUAACAAGAUUUUGUUUAUAUUGUAAAUGGACACCAGACACCAGAAAGGAUGUCUUUGAUUUUACACAACAGUCAUCUUCCAUACCUCUAUUAUGCCUGUGGUCUUGUAUAGAGAAUACAAUUUCUGGUAGAACAUGUCUGUGCUUAGGACAUACAGAGGGUAGGGAGAUGAUUUUCACAGUGCUCUCUGCUAAGUGCAUGUAAGAGAAGCUGAAACACUGGAAGAGUAUUUAGCACUCUUCUUUGUCUCUGGUGCAGAAGCAAAAGAUUUGCCUUUUGCUGCAACCUGUAUUUACAGGGCUUUCUUGGGGCAGAACAUUCAGUGUCAGCUCCUGUUGCUUCUGCUCAGGAAGCCAUCAUCCCUAGAGAUUUUCAAGAACCGUGUAGACGUGGCACUGAGGGACAUGGUUAGUGGGCAUAGUGGGGAUGGGUUGAAAACUGGACAGGCUGAUCUUAGAGGUCUUUUCCAACUUUAAUGAUUCUGUCGUUCUUGCUGUCCUUGACAGGGAGCAGCUACAUGGCUUUUCCUCAUAUCUGUCAUGGUCUAGCACAUUUCAGGCAGCCAGUGGAUUUGUGUAGAUGGUUCCCUCCCAGGUCAGACUGCACUAUUUCCUGGACCACGUUCUGAGCCAUACUUUAUUUUUCAAAUACAGUGGGUGUCACAAAGAUGCAGAGCUCUGUCCUGUUAUUUUUACUUCAUUUUCUUCUCUGCUCUGCUCAGCAAACGUAUUCUACUCAUGUGCAAAUAACCUUUCAGCUAGGAGAGGAAAAACACAACUUGUUCCCUCUGUUCCUCACACUUCUGGACGGGCUAAAAAAAUUGGAUAAUCAAAGAAUUAGAGGAACAUGAGUCUUCAAAAGAGCAUUGCUACCAGGAGCCAGGUUAUGAACGAAGGGAGGAAAAUGUUCCCACCAGGGUAGAAGAGAACAAAAUGCCUGUGCAAGGACUAGUAAGAGCCCUGUUUGCUUGGCCUGCCUAGGAGACCUUGUGCAAGGGAAAUGUGAUUUUGUUCCCAGUGCAGCAGCAGAUGAAGCUUUUAUACCUUAUGCCUGUCAAACACUUUGGAUCUACAUGAGGAAAGGAGCCAGAAGUCCACAGGUCUAUGAUAUCUUAUAUGUACUGGGUCCGUAUGGAAGAACACUGUGAAUCUGUUAUGUCCUCUGAAAGCACCUUUUUUUCUGCAUGAGUGGGAAUAGCUAAAGAUCAAAAGAGAAACUUUCAAAUCCUAUGUACUGUCAGUGAGAGUAAUGUGUACUAGCAUUCGAAUAACUUUUAUCAGUGGAUCUUUCACAACAACACAUUGCACUUUCUGGCAAUAUAUAAAAGUUGAAUUCAGACACAUAGCUGGACAAUAGUAAUUUCUUGGUCACAGUUUGCAGUUGCUCCUAGUUGUUAGAGAACUUGUGUCAGCUUCUGUUUUGCAGCUGUUCCAGAAGGGAAUAUUCGUUAUUCAUCUGUCUGUUCUUGAUAGGUCACAAUGUCUGUUAAGCAGAAUCCAACAGAUUCUUUUGUGAAUUAAAAUGAGUGUUGUCGAUGUUUGGGCUGACAGCAAGUUUUGGAAACCUGCUGACUGCAUUAAUGUUUAUUAUGGUUUAUAGUUUAAGCAUUAAGUCCAAGUUAGAUGCUAGUCAAAACACUACAAAUUUGGGAACCAGCCUCAAAAAUUGAAAGACACAGGAUUUCCAGUUUUCCAUGUCCUUCUUCCACAAGACAUGUAAUGAAACUGACAUUUUUGUGUGCUCUGCAGAGAUGCAAAGGCAAUAGGAAUAACAAAUCACAAAGUUCUCCGGAGAAAUCAAAAUGGCUGCUGUUUGGGUCCUUUGAAAAGCUUUCAUUGGCUCAUUUUGUCUAAACAAGUCAGCACAACUGUACUCAAUUAAACAACACUUCCAUUACAAAAUGAUUUGCCAUUUUGACACUACGCAUAUCCUUAAUUUCCACAUCAGACACCCUGUGGCCAUAAGAUGAGCUCAUGAGGCAACCUAUCAGAAGCUGCUCCACUUAGGAACUGUUUCAAUAAUUGAGAAUGUAAGUACUCACCCAGCACUGUGCUUCUGAAGCCAGUUAAAGGGAAUUGAGGGCAUUGUGCCACUAUCUCUUUCAAAACAAGGAACGAAGAAGUUUUCUUCUGCUGUAUGACAUUCUCAUCUGUAGGUCUGUAUUGCUUGUCAUCAGUCAAGACACCAAAGUUCAAAAGUAGUGGCUUUGGUUUGUGUUCUACUGUUCUCACAGCAAACUUACAGUUUAUCACUAGUACUUUUUUUCUCUAUAUUGUAUAAGCCCUAAUUAAUAUUUAAUUCCUUACUGAAGUCUUCCAUUAGGGAUCCACUUUAUUUCUGGGAGGCAUAGGGCCAUCACAACCAACGUGUAUCAUUUUUUUGACAGCUUUAUGGUUCAACUGGAACAAUUUGCAGAGCUGUCCAUCAGUAUCUUCCCCGCAGCUUCACAGCUCUUCUAUUUUAAUCAUGGACUGCAGAACAAAGCAGAGUAACAGGCCCUUAAGUCAGACUUAGAAACUGAAGGAAUAGAGUUCAGAAGACCCACUGCAAACAUUUUACCUAAUAAUUUAUUAAUUUGUUUUACUUUAUUUUGCAAGGCUUAAAACUAAUGUGUUAAAGGAAGAGCUACGCUUUAGAGACAUUUCAGCACUGCAGGACUUGAAGUAUUUCAACGUCAUGAGUUCAUCAGAUCUCUGCAAGUAGCAGCACUAGUCAUCACUUCUACUCUGAAAAGGAAUAGGGGAUGACGAAGACCUGUGUUGUCCUAGUGUGGGCUGGACAGUGCUCCAUGGAAAGUGGUUAGAAGCAUUCUUGCACCUCUGAGCGUCUGGGCAUCAUCUGGUGGUCAGGAGCAGGAGAGGACAGAAGACAUCACAAAUUUCAGCCACUGGGUACUCCUGCAGGCAGGCUGCUUUCAAAAUAGAGAAAUAUCUGUGCUCUCUCUCCUCCAGGGCUGUUACACAGAACAAUCUCUAGCCAUUUGUGAAACUGCUGUGCUCCUUAUUUGUAUUCUCCAGAGGUCUGUCUACUGCUUGCGUACAGUCCUCAGGUAUAUCAUGGCUGAGGUUUAUAACAGCCAUUUACAGAUCAGAUGAUAAAUUAAUGGUAACAAUUUGAAUCAUAGAAUCACAGAAUCAUCUGUGUUGAAAAGAACCACAACAAUCAUUGAGUUUCAACCCCCUGCCUUGUGCAGGGUUGCCAACCACUAGACUAGGCUGCCCAGAGCCACAUCCAGCCUGGCCUUGAAUGCCUCCAGGGCAUUUGCAGCAUCCUCUCCACUUCUUUGCCAUUCCAUAUGAUUGUUUGGGAUACUCAUACCUUUGCCAGUACUUCAGACAACUUCCCAAGGUAGCCUACCCUUCUUCAAAAGAUUAAUGACCAGCUCCAGGGCAUGAACUCCUUACCAGCUGUCCUGGACUCCAUAGAAAAUUUAGUAUUGGCAGGAGGAGCCUGCUAAAGCACAGAAUGCAUGCAUGUGGAAAGAAAAACUUGUGAUUUGCACUUAAGAGUUGUAUUCACCUUUAGCCUGAUUCUGAAUGAGAGAAACAAGUUCUUGAAACGACAUGUUCAUAAUGGUAUCCAGGCUAAAGCAAAAUGGACUUCUGCACUAUGCUGUUCUGUAGCUUGAAAUAUUGUUGCUACCCUUGCACUCAGGUUGUUUAGCCCAGUGAUGAAGGUGUAGACUACACUUGUUACUAGGUAAGUCAUGGGAAAACUUCUCUGGCAUGGUUUUCCCAUUUGUACAGUGGUGGAAUGGAUGUGCUGAAGUUAUCCAAGUACUUCUUUUCAAGGAACAGAACUGCAUCUCUCUCAAAACAAUAAAUAAACAAACAAACAAAUUAAAUUAAAAAAAAAACAAACAUGAAAUUCACGUGAUGUAUUAAAACAAAUGCAAGGUCAUCCAGCUUCAGGAAUUUGCAGAUGCUUCCAAAAUAGAUCUGGUGGAUUCUUUUGCUCAAUUUAGACUUAACAAAAAGUAGAGAAAGUAUGAAGUAUGACGGAGUAAUCUUAGAUUUUUCUGUGACAGUUUGUGAGUACAUGCUAUGAAUGUAGUAAAAUCAAGAUAUGUGUAUUGUGUUGGCUUUUUUUUUUUUUUUUUUUUUUUUUGUUAUUAUUAGUUUAGUUUAGUUGUCACAGAUUCACAGUAUAGUUUAGUUUGGCAGGGGCCUCUGGCUCUAUCUGCUCCAGCCCUGUUCCAGCAGGAGCACCCAGAGCAGGGUGCCCAGGCCUGUGUUCAGGUGGCUUUGGAAGAACUCCAAGGAUAAGUCUCUGCAGCCCCUGUGAGCAACCUGCAGCAGUGCUCCAGUACCUUCGCAGCACAGAAGUGCUUCCUGAUGUUCAAAGGGACCGUCUGGUGUUCCAAGUUGAGUCCAUUUCCUCCUGUCCUGGAGUUGGGCACCACUGAAAAGUGCCUGGCUCUGUCUCAGGGAGUUCUUCUCCCAGUCCGUAUUUGUACCUGAGAUUACUCCAACCCAAGUGCAAAACCUUGCACUUUGUUAUGUUGAACCUCGUUAGGCUCACACUGGCCCACCUUUUGAGUUUGUUGAGAUCCCCCCAAGCCUCCUCCAGGCUUGACAGUCCCACCUCUCUCAGUCUUUCCCCAUAGAAGAAGUACUCCAGUCCCUUCAUCUCUCUGAUGGCCCUUAGCUGGACUCUAUCCAGUGUAUACAUGUCUCUCUUGCACUGGGGAGCCCAGGCUUGGAUACAGAAAUCCAAGUGUGGCCUCACAAGCGAGGGCAUGGGAAGGAUCACCUCCUUCAAUCCACCAAUGAUAAUUUCCCUGAUGCUGCCCCAGAUGCCAUUAGCCUUCUUUGUGGUAAGGACACAUUGCUGGCUCUUACUCAGCCUGAUGUCCACAGGGAUCUCCAGUUUCUUUUCUGCAAAGUUGCUGUACCCUCCCCAAAUUAAUUAUUUUGUUUUUAAGGGAAAUUACUUUGAAAAAUUCUGCUUACCAUACAGGUGGCUUUGGCCUUCUCUGAAUUACAAGGCUUCUAGCUAGCUUAGGUUAGGGCGUCCUAUUGGCUUGCCCAGUUGCAUUUUAUUUCCAGCAGAUGCUAGCUGCCAUUGCUGCUGGCUCCUCAUAGGUCUACUCAGAGAAUUUUACUCUGUUCUCUCCUGUCAGGCUGCAGCUCAGUGACAAUGUAUGUUAGACAGGCACUGACACUUGUCUUGCUGCUGACUCUUGCCCUGGCACCAACUUGUUGUGAUGCCCAAUGGAACACUGCUGGCACUUGGCACCACUUCUUACUGUUCAUCAUGUUUUCAAUUCAUCUCUGCUUUUGCGGCACUGGAAAUUUCCUGCUGAAUUUUCACUUCUGAAGCCAAGGGAGUAUCCUGGCAAUUUAUAUUUACCUUCUUCACCACUUUUGUUUCAAAACAGCUGUAUCCACGUAUGGAUGAUGGUUAAGCUGCUUGCCCCACCCUGUGCAGUCCAGCUCCACGUUUUGCAGCCGUCAGUGUGAUACUUCAUCUACAUUCUUCCCUGUGCAGUUAAUGUGGGCUGAUUAAUUAUUCAUAUAGAUGAGCCAUGAGCUCAAGUAUGACAUAUGAGCAAUAUUAUAAUGCCUCAGUGUGUAACAGGAAGCUAACAUAUGACCUGCUUCACAUACUCACGUAUGCUAGAGGCCUGCAGAGGAAUUGUCAUGUUUUUGCUCACUUCUGUCACCUACUGUUUUAUCCUUGAAAAUAAUACAACUCUUCCCAUCAUUUCUGUAAUUCUGCCUUAAUCAUAACAAGUUUGAACAUUUUCUUUGUUACUGUCUAUGUGGCAAAUUUUGGGGGAAGUCUGGUGAUACACGCGUACAGCAAACAAAGUCUAACUGGACAUAGUCAAAGCAUUAUUCUCCUAUUUUCCAUUCCCAAAUGAAAAAAAAAAAAGAGGAAAAUGUGUGGAAGUUGUGUGACCUUACUGAAGCCAUCCAGAAGGUAGACUUCAGAGAACGAGCUUAGAGAAAUCCAUCUUCCUUCACUAAUGACAGAAAAAUCUUUGAACUAGUCACCUAGUUCAUAGUUAGCUAGAGUUGGAUGAAGUGAAUCCUCUACUAAGUAGUUUAUCUGCUUUUGCCUAAAACAAGUAGCUCUGCUUAUGAAACCUAAGAUAAUAUUGCAAAGGCUGUGACAUGCCAAACAUUCCUCACUGUCAAAUCUCAAGUGUAUGCACAGAACUCAAAGCCUGUCCCCUUAACAUAUCACCUUUCUUAAUUAAUAAUGGCACUACUUGUGUUACUAAAAUAGAUGAUUUGCAUUUCUUUCAUUUCCUCUCUCAAUCACGGUGCUCAUUAUAACAUUGCGGUUAUUCUCAUUUUUUCCUUCCAAAUGCUCCCUCAAAACACAACAGGGAUGAUUUUUGACCAUAAUGGCAUCAGGUUUUCUACUCACACUUUUUGGCCAGAGGCACAAGAGGUAUUGAUGGCUCUGUUUGUCCUAGAAAUGUCUGAACUCAUAGCAUUCACAAAACCAUGCAGUAAAAGAAGUGUACAGAUCUCUGUGGCUUUCAGACUGGCAUUUAACAAAAAUAAAGCAUUGCAACAUAAAGAAGAAAGUCAACUUCUCUGUUGGUCUUCAUGCUUCUCUUACAAAUACAAAGAUGUCCACAGGGGAGAUACACAAGUCCACCAACCUCAUAAAAACAAGAUCUCUUACUCACCCUGAAGUACCGAUCUGUGCUUUUUGUGGCAGAGUUGUUGUUUCCUUAAAGGGACUGCUUUUCACAUAACAGAAGGUGGAUUUUGUUUUUCUUGCAUUACCAGAAGAUUCUGUUAUUGAUUUGUCAUCCACUUAAAGGGGAAUGGCCAGCUCGUCUCCUUUGGCACCUUGGAAGUGCUCCCCCUCCAUAUACAAACUUAAGCCAUCACUAAGAGGUUAAAAAUUAAUAUAAGUCAGACCUCCCAAGGUAACAACAUGUUCAGGAGCACCGGCGCUUUGGUCAGUUAUAUUGCAGUGUCUUUGUUCUUUGCCCCUCUGCAGAUUUAUAAUCCACCAGUCUCACGGCUCUCUGUCUCAGUGCACUUUAAGAGCCAUUAAUUAAGUAAUUACUAAAAUGGAUUAAAAAUAAUUUCAGCUGAAGUCUGAGUUUUGAGCCUAGUGUUUCUGUUUGCAGGAAGAUGGUACUAUUUUCUAAGAGUAAAUAAAGUAUUCUCCCUGCUUGUUAUGUAAAUCAACCAAAAAUUGAAACAUUUUACAAAAUAGAUGUGUUGUGAUGAGAUUUCAGGGGAAGAUGUCACUGUGCUGAUUGCUCUCCUGAGGCUGCUGUAAGUCACUACAGUCACAGAACACUCCACCGCAUCACCAGCCCUGUCAGGGAGCCUAGGUUUGAGUGAAUAUUUAUUUUCAUCAUUCUGAGCUUUUGUUUCGUACACUGGUUCUGGUUCUGUAAUUAAUGUUGUGUGAAAUUAAUGGGUCUUGUGAAAAUGUUCAUGCUUUUCUGACAGGCCAGAGAAAUGGCUCAGAAAAAUAGCUCUGAGCCAUUCAGAACAGCACUGCUGAGAGAUACUGGCACAAUCUGAGUACAAGCUCUGUGGCAAUAGCUCACUGCAGAGUCAGUUUUAGAAGAGAGAUAACACUUUUCUUUUCCAAACUGGAGAGAAGUUACCAGACAUUUGCAGUGGUUUCCUCUGUAGGAGAGAAGCAUUCCUUGAGAAGAAUUCUGACAGCGUUCAGCUGGAGAGAAGUCCAAGCACCUUUAGAGCGCAUCCCUGUACACCAUUAGUCCCUGCUGCUCUGAAUUUGCACACUUGACAGAUUUGAGGCAAAUCUAAAGAAGAAUGUCUACCAAGUUCUUAUGCCCACAUAGAAUAAGUUCUGACUUCUUCACACCAUUCAUUUUAGUCCACUAUUUCUCAAGAUCAUGCGUUUGUUUUUUGACAGAGGGGCUCCUGGUGAUCAUUUUCCAGUGAAAUCUGAUGCAAAACAGUGCUUCAUUUUCAAGUGAAAUUAUAGUUUUGAAUAUGUAUUAUCAUGAAGAAAAUAUUACCUUGUGGAUUGCUAUUCGAUAUUUGUUGGCAUUCAUUCUGACAACGAAAUCUUCAGCUACUCCAGUCAUUACAGGACUGCAUCUUUACCACCCACUGGCUGUAAGAAACAUCAGAAACUUUUGGUGACCUGUUGAGAAUGUGGAUUGAAAGGCAAAUAUUAGGUUCUCCCAGAAGUGUGUGUGUAUAUAUAUAUAUAUAUAUAUAUAUUUAAUUAUUAUCGUUAUUAUUUUUAUUAUUCCAGAGUAAGAGUACGGUCUUUAAGAGCAGAAAGGGAAUAAACAUGGUUAAAAAAAAUACCAUUAAUAUUUACUGACCAGAAGGCGUCAAAAAUACUCACACAAAGCAGUAGAGAUCAUACUGAACAAGAAACUUUCUUGAAGACACACUGGGCAAUAAGAAUAUGGCACAGAGAUUGGAAUGCACAGGAUUACUUAACCUUCCCUGCUCCCUGUCUCAUUUUACCAAAGAUGAAAGAGUGAGGUUUAUCACGUCUUCAUAUUUUCCUUCAGCUUUUUUUUCUUUUCUUUUCUUUUGCAAUCAUUUUGACUGAUGUGCAAACGAUGAGUUAGACUUCCACUGCACCCAGUACAUCAUUACGGAUCUCCUCCAACAUCAGCAAGAUAGAUACUCAGGUAUCAGAUCUGGCAAAAGCUUUUCCCUCAUCUUCUGAGAGAAGAUCAGUUACUGAGGAAUAUCAGGACACCUGGCCUGUGUGCUGCAUUCCUGAGGUUUCUAUUUCAGGAGAAAUCAGCUUAAUGAGAUAUGAGUGGAUUCAGUGCUUAUUGCCACGUAGCCAAGCAUUUGUUCUUGCUGCUCUAUGUGAUAGGAAGAAAGUUUUCAGGAGAUACAUCUCUUUAUAUCUAUUCUGCUUGUCCAAAUAUUUGAUCUUCUUCCUACUGCAUGUUCUGGGAAAAAUCUGCGAGAGAGUGCAUAUUUGACUGACUUCUUGUAUGAUGAUUUUAUUUGCUACGUAUCCUGCCAAUGAAUAAAGCAAAAAAAAAAAAAGUUUAUUUUGUUCCAGGUGGCUUUGGAAGAACUCCAAGUUCCUAUGUUUUGUUUUGUUCCUAUUCAGACAAAUGUUUGUGUUGACACACAUUCCUUUCUGUUUUCUCACUGACUCUUAAUGGGCCAAUUUACAAUGAAUUUUUAAAUAUUCAGGUUUAUGGAAAUUUGGUGUGAAUCAAAAGCUGUAUGAAGGUAAGAAUCCAGAUGAGAUUUCCACUUUUCUCAAGUAGGAGCAGCAGACAGGUCAUCCUUAUUGAGAGAUCUCUCUCUCUCUCCUCCCCCGUUCGCAUUAACCCUCAAUUUGGCAUACUCCUGUCUCCUGCCUAGCUCCGGCACACACUGCUUUGUACUUCUUAGAAAUCUCAAGGAUUUCAGGAGGAAUGGUCAACGUUGUUCGGGUUGGGAGGCUUAGAGACAAGACAUAUCCGUAAGAAAGAUCUCUUUGGUCUUCAUCUUCACCAGUCAGCACGUUUCCCUUGUAAUACCCUGUGAUCAUUUUUUGAUUAUCUCAUGCAUACCAGUUCAAAGGCUUUUUUUCCCCCCCCUCCUCCAGCUUCCAGCCAUGAAGUUCUCCACAGAUUUUAGGAUUUCUUUUGGAACACACACACACACACACACACACAGAUCUGCAAAAAAACAUUUGUUAAGUAAGUCUGAAAACUCAGUCCACAAGAAUAUGGGCACAGAGGAGUUAUUCAACCAGCAUAUGAGUUUAUCCUUGACUUAUGAGGGCAUUGCUAUGCUUGUUCUGAGUGGCUCAACACAUGAUGCACGAGCAACCUGCUCCAUGUAAUCCUAUAUUAUUUGAUGAAUUCAUAAGGUCUAAAACUCUGCUUCUGCACUGUUAUUUUGAACAGCUUAAUAUUCAGUUCAUUCUUUCAAGAAAAGAAAUAUGGAUAAGGAGAAAAACCAGCUUGAUACUUACAUAUGAAGCCACGUUAUCUCACAUUAUCUGUUUUAUAGGGACACCUACAAAACACAUUUCCAUGCAACAUUCUCUGUGGCAUGGAACUCUUUAAUUUCCCUUCAUCCUUUCUAAGCUGCAGAAAUUUAGACCUUCAGGUAUUCUUUACUUCACUCAUAUUCCAUCCUCUCUUCUGCUCAGUCUGGCCAUUUAUCUUUCAUUCCAAAACACCUAUCCUUUCUAGUCAUCAUAUUCAUUGCUAGUAUAUUUCCCCAGGAGUAUUGCUGCUUUACCCAUUAUCCUCCGUACUGGAGCAGGACAUUAGGAAGAUCCACUACUGUAGCAAUUGGGCAGAUCAAUAUGAUGGGAGGAUCAGCAAGAUAGAAAGGUGCUAUAAACGAAGAGAAGAAGAUUGCUUACUUGUAUCAGAAGAUUCCAGGUUUGCAUGGGAAAGCAAAUCCCAAGAAGGGAUCACCAGAAAGAGAUCCUUCCCCAGUGGUAGUCAGCCCUUAAGUGGGGUCUAAGAGAGGUGCAGCCAGGCUCCACCCCAUCUGGUCUCACAGGUGAAUUGCCUUCACCUGUGCUCCCAGGGCUGACCCGGUCCUGUCCCCAGGUGCUCAAUCAGUGGUUCAGGCCGUGACUCAACAGAUCCCAUACACCUACAUUCACUGAUUCCAACAGGGCAUCAUUUCAGGAGAGGAUGUCAGAGCAUCCUCUUUCAAUGAUUCCUUUUACACUUCUGCUUGUUUUUUACAUCUACUUAUGUCUUAGAAUUUAAAUGUUGGCUAUAUUACCACCCCUGGAGACAUAGCAAAUGUCAAUGUAGGAUUAAGUUGCUUUACAUUAUUGAUGUUAUCAUAACAAAGUGCAUAAAUAAAUGAUUAUCUACUGGUUUAUCUGUUAUAUCCUUUCAGAGCUGCUUCAAAAUAUGUCUUGAUUUCCAUUUUGGUAUUAAAGAGCUGCAGCAAACGUUAAAGUAUGUUUGCACAAAAGAAAGGUAUUUAUAUCAGAGAAGUGUGGGAUUACAAAUUUUGCAUGUUGAAACACAUUCCCAGGACUUUCUGCCUUAAUGAGUGUAGUAGAAAAGCCAAAUAGAGAUUAGUGAUUUGGGUUUUAGUUUCCUUAGAAGUGAUCGGGUUUUGUCAGCCUAAAAUAAGUCUCUAUCUAAUUACAAGAAGAGUUGUUCCAACCUGAAGGUCACUGAAGCUGAAAAGAGUGAUGCUAUUUGACUCACAUAUACAGAGUAAGGUGCAUCAAGGAUGUUGCCAUCAGUGAUGUUUUGACUUCAAAAAGGUGUUCUAACUUUAAAAAGAUGGAUCUCUGUCUCACACUCUGGGUACUGCAUCACCUCACUGGGCACCCUCCUUAAUGUACUCCGCUAUUCAGCAUGUAAUGACCGCCUCACUAUCAGAUUAUCAUGGUUUUAUUCCUUUAAAACAGAAGCACGAGGAAGAAGGGACUGUACCAUAGAGCAUACAACUGAACUGAAGAAAUUCUGUUUUUGCUAAAGCUUUGGUGGAUGCAGGAUUCACGGCCUCUUCCCACCCAUCACGUAAAAUGCCACUCCCAAAAAUGCCUUCAUGUAAAUCAUCUUAGAGCAUGGGGCACUGCAUCUGCAUGCAGUGGCGCCCUGAGUUCCAUCCACAUUCAUGCUCCACAUCUCCUGCUCUCUAAAAGCCUCCAGCCAGUGACUAAUGGGAUCAGGGAGCAAACACUGAUGGCAUUUAAGGUCCUAGAAUAGGACAGAGGCACAGCCCAGGGUUUGCACGUGGCUUUGCUGCAGGUAGUGCAGGAAAACCAUCCCUGUGAAUGCACUGCUCUAUGUGAGACCUGUCAAGCUAUGCUGUACUCACAUUUGAACAAAGGGUGAUGGCCUGGAAUUGCUUCUGUGGUGGUUAGACAUCUGCCACAGAUGCAGCAAAACUGUAUUCCUAACAUUCUUCUGAAAACUGCUUUACAGUGCAAGAUCACCAGUAACUUGUGCUGAGUGCUGAGUGCAGGAGUCCAACAAAACACGGGAUCCUAACUACACUCAGCAUGGUACUAACACAGACUAAUAGCAACCGCCUGCCUUGAUGAGGCCAUAAUCCUCACAGAUGCAGCAGGUCUGUGCAGCAUAGUAAUACAAUACUUAGGCCUUCAGCACCCUCAAAAGAGCUGAUUCCACAGAAGAAGAAUUAAGAAAGUAAUAAAGUGCUGAAAAGCUGGAUUUCCAGGUGAAUCACUUGGAGAAGAUAUGCCCAGUUUUAUAAGGAUAGAGGUGACAGUCAUGUGCACGUGCAGCGUAAUGUAUUAAGAGCUGUCUGAGUUCUUGUCUCAGUUUGAACAUGAGAGAGGCUAUUUGCGCAUCUGCAGAAGCAAACAUAUGCUUGUGCUCGGGGCUAUAUGUUUCAGUGGUGGGGCACUAUGGAAGGUAAAGUGGGGUUCAGAGAACAAAAUAUUAGCGAGAGGGAGUACAGAGAGAAAGAGAACGGUAUCUACAGAGGAAAAGAAGGGAGAGCUAGAAAGACAGAUAUUGUAGCAAGCCUCAUGCUUGUAGAGGUGGAAAAAAGGAAGAGCAAGUAACAGUAACAAAAAGGGGCAAGAGAUGGAAGUAGGGAAGCAGAGUAGGCAAAAGCUGGACAUGAGACAGCAGUGUGCACUUGCCACCCAGAAUGCUAGUGGUAUCCUGGGCUGCAUCAGCAGAGGGGUGGCAGCAGGGAGACAGAGGGCACUGUACCCCUCUGCUCUGCCCUUGUGAGGCCUCAUCUGCACUACUGCAUACAGGCCUGGGGCCCCCAGCACAAGAAGCUGUUGGAGAUGGUCGAGAGGAGGCCACAAAGAUGCUCAGAGGACUGGAGCACCUCCCCUGUGAAGACAGGUUGAGGGAGCUGGGCUUGUUCAGCAUGGAAGAGGCUCCAGGGAGAACUCUCUGUGGCCUUCCAGUACCCAUGGGGAGCUUAUAACAGGAGGGACACUGACUUCUUACCUAGGCAAGAAGUGAUAGGGCAAGGGGGAAUGGCUUUAAACUAAAUAUAUAUAUUUAGAAUAUGUAUAUAUGAGAUUAAGGUUAGAUGCCAGGAGGAAAUUCUUUACUCAGAGGUUGGUGAGGCCUGGCACAGGCUGCCCAGACAAGCCAUGGAUGCCCAUUUAACCCAGAUACGUGUUUGUAGAUAUGUUUACUUCUCACAACCAAUUCCUGUUGCUUGGAAGAACAGAAAGUUUUGGAAAUGCCCAAAGAAUUGAAUGUGGGGUCAAUUUGUUUUCACAUUGACUUUAACUAUGUUAUUGUUCUUCUUCUAUAGGCACCGUACUUGAACUGGAGCAUGUAUGCCACAAAGCAUUCCAGCCAGUAGCAGGUGUCCUCUGCAUAAUUCUGUGAACUACAGUGCACCACAGGCAGCAUAAAUUCAAGAAGGAAAUGUGAGCUUCCCUGGAUAAUAUGAAGGAAUGGCAAGGUUAUAGACCCAGACGGUUAGCAUUGCUCUAACAAACACUGCAACUUGGAAAAAUCAGACACAAAGCAAAACAACUUCCUGCCAUUUCCACUUUUUAUUUUCUUGGAGAGUGUUGGAAAAAUGAAAAUGUGCAGGACAAAAUCUUUAUGCUGAAACCCUUACUUUCACAUUUAACUACUUCACAGAAGAAUUCAUAUCUAACUUCAGCUUGGGGAUGCUUCAUAGCCAUGCCUCAUUGCCCCUCACAUUUAGUUUGCUGCUGCUUUUGAGAGGUGAGGCUCGUUCCUGGCACCAAAAUGCUCUUAUGGUGUGAUUUCCCUACCUUGUCAGUUUUCUCCUGAGGGAAAGCUCAGCUCAAACUUACCUCCGGCAACAGCAGCACCGAACUGGAUCCAGUAAGCUCUGGAGCAGGUUUUCUGCUAGUAACCUCCAAGACUGCCUUUUCAUCCCUCAAAAUUUGCCACGGGCAACUUUGCUCACUUCCAAUAUCAGUUCUAUCAGACAACUCAUUCUUAAGUCUCUUUCUUCCACAUAGACCUAUUCCCUUCUACUCGUAUUUUAACAACUUGGAUAGAAGGCAUUUUGAUUUCACCUCCCGAGCUGCAGCACUGCCUCUGUGUUGUGCAGCAAGAGGGGCAUCUUUUCUCCUUUCAUGGCUUUUCUUUUCUUCCCACACUUAUACAACAAUGUAAUGAUGGGAAAUCAGCAGCAGCUCUGUUUUGGUCAAAGCACUCAUCCCUUUGCUCAGAUGUGUUCAUGCUGUGCUGAGCGCACAUAAAGGAGAUUCUCUGUCUGAGCACACGCACGCAGACACACAAAAAUCAUAGGAAAAUGGAUGGUGUGAGCUGGCUUGUCUGUCAGGACAGAAUUCAGCACACUUGGUUGUUCCUGUCAGAUGCCCACAGUAAAUCUAUUUGCCUUUAUAUUUACUUGCCUGGCAUGCUGUCAAGCAAUUCCAGCACAUGAUGCACUUCCUAUUUCAAGGCUCAGAUGUCUGUUCUGGUAGAUGCGUGUAUCCAUUCCUCCUGCUGCAGAAACAGUCCUUGGCGAGAAGAGUGAAGUUGUUUCAUCCCUGAAUAUUUUGACAGGCUCAAUCUGGUGAGGACCAAGCAAUAGUUAAAACAGAUGCUUUUGAGUAAGCGUGUUUUAACUCAGCACGUGGAGAGCCAGGAGGAUUCCUCCCCCACCCCACAGCCACGGCCACCCUGCCUCUCUCCUUCCCUCCUUCUCCUGCACUCUCACACAUUCCCCUAGAGGCAAGGGUGCGGGUGCCUGGAAAUGUGAAAGUCACCUGAUAGGAUGCUCCCGCUCCCAUCUCUCCGCACAGCAUAAGCUCUUCUCUCCUGGUGACCGUGGAAGCAACUCUGCCAGGCUUUGCUAUGCUUAGCAGACUGCAGAGUUUGCUGCAAAUGCAAAACUGAAGUCCAUCUUUGCACCUCUUACUUACCAAGGGGCUUCAGUGUCUUCUUCCUUGCAGUUCCUGGCUUUCCCCUAACCUCUCUUCUCGAAAGGAAGGUCUGUUCUGUUUCUGGCGAUGCAUCCCAAGAGGCGGCUCUGUUGGUGUCUCCCUGCUUCUGGUGCAUGGGCAUUCAUGCUCACAUCCUUAAUUGCAGACACCACAGCCUGCGAGUCAGAGGAACGGCUGUUUCACAAACUCUUCUCCCGCUACAACCAGUUCAUCAGGCCGGUGGAAAACGUAUCUGAUCCUGUCACGGUGCAUUUCGAACUGGCCAUUACCCAGCUUACAAAUGUGGAUGAAGUCAAUCAGAUUAUGGAAACCAAUUUGUGGCUAAGACACAUCUGGAAUGACUACAAAUUGCGAUGGGAUCCCAGAGAAUAUGAUGGAAUUGAAUUUGUUCGGGUACCAGCAGAUAAAAUUUGGAAACCAGAUAUUGUCUUAUACAAUAAUGCUGUGGGAGAUUUUCAAGUUGAAGGCAAGACCAAAGCCCUUCUUCGCUACGAUGGGAUGAUCACCUGGACCCCACCAGCUAUAUUUAAAAGCUCCUGUCCCAUGGAUAUUACUUUUUUCCCAUUUGAUCAUCAGAACUGUUCAUUGAAAUUUGGUUCUUGGACUUACGACAAAGCCAAAAUUGAUCUUCUGAUCAUUGGCUCCAAAGUAGAUAUGAAUGAGUUUUGGGAAAAUAGCGAGUGGGAAAUAGUUGAUGCUUCUGGCUACAAACAUGACAUCAAAUAUAACUGCUGUGAAGAGAUCUACACAGAUAUAACAUAUUCAUUUUAUAUUCGAAGGCUGCCAAUGUUCUACACCAUAAAUCUGAUUAUUCCCUGUCUCUUCAUCUCAUUCCUGACUGUGCUAGUUUUUUACCUGCCAUCUGACUGUGGUGAGAAGGUGACUCUUUGCAUCUCUGUGUUGCUUUCUUUGACUGUAUUUUUACUAGUGAUCACAGAAACAAUUCCAUCUACCUCUUUAGUAAUACCCCUCGUAGGUGAAUAUUUGCUCUUCACUAUGAUAUUUGUGACUCUCUCCAUUGUCAUCACCGUGUUUGUCUUAAAUAUACAUUACAGAACUCCUACUACACACACAAUGCCCAAAUGGGUGAAAACUGUCUUUCUUAGCCUGCUCCCCAAAGUUCUGUUGAUGCAGCGGCCUCUGGAGCAGGAGAAAAAAAACAUCUCCAAAAAGACCAAGAAAGGAUCGGCCAAAACAUCAGGCAAAUCAAAGCACAGCAAACACAAAGAUAACAAAUUACAUAAGGAGCAACGGUGUUGUCACUGUGAUAAAGCAGACGAUCUCACCUCAACCAGAAGAAGUCGACUGAGUCAUCAGUCACUGAAAUGGAUGGCAGAGCACACAGAGUACUCCCCAGAAGUGAAAGAUGUCAUCAACAAUGUUCAGUUCAUCGCAGAGAACAUGAAGUCUCAGAAUGAAACCAAAGAGGGAAAUAACGUGUUUUGUUCCCCAACAAGCACCGAGGAAAUGAUUCUGGAGGCUUCUGCUUUGUUCAGAUGUACAGAGCUAUGCUGCUAUGGACAUGUCCCAUAUGAAUAGAAGCCCUUUAGAAAUGGCAGGUUCAUUGGGGUUGAAAGGAAUCUCCAGUCCAACCCCCUGCUAAAGCAGCUUCCCUGCAUUAGGUCACACAGGUGGAAGAUGAUUGGAAAUACGUGGCUAUGGUGAUUGACAGAGUAUUUCUCUGGGUGUUUAUAAUCCUUUGUGUGUUUGGGACUGCUGGAUUAUUUAUCCAACCACUAAUAGCAGAUACAUAACUUGAGUCAUAGCUUUUUUUUCCACUUACGUUUGUAUUCCAUUUUCAGUUUGGAACUGUCCCUUGUAUUUCUCUCCUCUUAUAUCAUCCCUCAGCAUCUAGCCCCACUGGGAAGGAGAGAGGGGAAGACUCCUCUGGGCAAGCAACAAUCUAAGGCAGAAUGAGAAGGGAACUGAAAAUGUGAGAUUGAGCUUGUGGUCUCUCUAAGACAGAGUGGCUGAGAUUUACAGAGUGCCUGUCUGUCUGCUCAAUUCAGUAGCAAUUGCACCAAGAAUCACUGUAGUGGGCAGAAAAUACUGAGCUUCUCCCAUGGUUUCAGUUCAGGGGGCCACUGUGAGUGAUUUGUGCUAAGAGAACAAAAGUCUCACUUUUCUUUCCUCAUCACAACUCUUACAUUUCCUCUUUCUCCCCUUGUACAAUGCCUAGAUUUCAGCAUGGCGCUUAGCUGAGGUACCGCAGUCCUACUGACUGAAUCAACACUCUUUACUGUGCUUUUGGAACAGGGCAGACAAAAAUCCAAAUAAAAGUACAAUCAAACCAA
This is an RNA transcript of Gallus gallus (chicken), 24187 nucleotides long. It is a transcript of the gene named cholinergic receptor nicotinic alpha 6 subunit, with no coding region annotated. NCBI's taxonomy places the organism in Eukaryota, Metazoa, Chordata, Aves, Galliformes, Phasianidae. The record is from RefSeq and is marked validated. The transcript is spliced from 7 exons.